RNAcentral lists this ribosomal RNA (310 nucleotides) under uncultured bacterium. RNAcentral describes it as "bacterial SSU rRNA". It matches the Rfam family "Bacterial small subunit ribosomal RNA", at positions 610 to 917 of the family's 1533-position model. The record is from RNAcentral.
UAACCCUGAGCGUGCUUUCGAUACGGGUUGACUUGAGGAAGGUAGGGGAGAAUGGAAUUCCUGGUGGAGCGGUGGAAUGCGCAGAUAUCAGGAGGAACACCAGUGGCGAAGGCGGUUCUCUGGGCCUUUCCUGACGCUGAGGAGCGAAAGCGUGGGGAGCGAACAGGCUUAGAUACCCUGGUAGUCCACGCUGUAAACGGUGGGUACUAGGUGUGGGGUCCAUUCCACGGGUUCCGCGCCGUAGCUAACGCUUUAAGUACCCCGCCUGGGGAGUACGGCCGCAAGGCUAAAACUCAAAUGAAUUGACGGA